ACCUCAAAAUAAAUAAACUUAAAAAAAAAAAAGAGUGGGAUGUUUAACUGACUGAGCCACUGAGCCAACCCAAGCUUUCUUUUCAAAAAGAUUUUUGCCUACUCCUUUUCAGAGAGAUAGCAAGACAUGUUUGACUGAAGAACAUCUGCCACCUUUUGGUUAUCCAGUGUAGUGUAGUACAGUUCCUUUUAUCCCACUUCCCUUUCUUUUCAUAGACUGGAAGAUGAUCCAAAAAUGAACGUGUUCAGAAAUGGAGGUAUACAUACAUGAAAGCUAAGGACAGUCCCGUGUAUCUAGGUCUCUAGGCAAUCUUUUCCUGGUCUUUUCAUCUUGGUAUUCUACCCUUAUCAGAAAAAAAAGAAAAAGGACUGUGCUGUAGACUCACUAUAUGAAAGUGCCUCACUUUCCUGAGAAUUUUGAUUCUUGUAUUCAAGAUAUAUGUGGAGUUUGGUUCAGUUAGAUUUAUGACACCAGAAUUGUUGAAAAGCAAUAAAUUACUACUAUAAUUUCUGUUUUAUUUUAAAUAAUAAUGAUCUCUGUUUUUAACUUGUUUGGGAAAGAACAAGCUAUGAACUUUUCUCAGCCUUUGAUGCAGGACUCCAGCUAAACUAGCAAAAGACACUGCCUCAAAGAAACUAAAUAUUUUUUUUCUUUAACAAUUUAACUUUCUAUCUUUUCGCCUUCAAGAUGUAUCAUUAUAAACUUCUUACAAACAAGGACUGUUUCUUCUCAUGGUAUCCUGCAGAUUGCCUUAUACAGACCUACAUAUGGCUAAUAAAAACUUGAGUAUUUUAAAACGGAUAGAGAACUUUGUGAAGGCUCAAAAGAACAAAGACCUACAAAAAUUAGGGGACUCCCAAGAUCCAUCUCCAAGAGCAAUGGUGUUCCCUGGGAGGGAGGAAACUCUUCAGAAGAGCAGAUAAAGCCAAGCAUACUGGCAUCGCUCACACAUCUGUCAGAAAAUUGCGGAGUUUUAAAAAAUCACUUCAGUCCAAAGUUAACCUAUUUGAAACUGACCACUGGGAGUUGGCCUCCUGUCUAAAGGUUUAGCUGUACUGACUGGGGACGAAGCAGUGAACCUACCAGAUCAGAUCCAUACCCUCGUGGAACUUACAUUCUAGUUGAUGAGACCAAUGUAAA
Herpailurus yagouaroundi (jaguarundi) is the source of this 1140-nucleotide long non-coding RNA. RefSeq lists it as uncharacterized. The record is from RefSeq and is a predicted model, not a curated record. The transcript has 4 exons. NCBI's taxonomy places the organism in Eukaryota, Metazoa, Chordata, Mammalia, Carnivora, Felidae.